UGGAGAGAAGAAGUGGAAGUGCGACAAGUGUUCAAAGAGAUAUGCUGUCCAAUCUGAUUGGAAAGCACACUCAAAAACUUGUGGCACUAGGGAGUACAAAUGCGACUGUGGAACUCUAUUUUCGCGGAGAGAUAGCUUCAUCACUCACAGGGCCUUUUGCGAUGCAUUAGCUGAGGAAACGGCAAGAGUAAAUGCAGCAUCUAAUGGUUUGGCUGCAGUUUCCACGAACUUCAACUAUCAUCAUCUUAUGGGGACUACUCCUGUAGGGCCUAACAUGGCACAGCAUUUCUCUUCAGUUUUCAAGCCAAUCUCAAGCAAUGACCAGACAAUGGACCGAAGUAGAAGGGGACUCUCCUUGUGGGUGAGCCAAGGACCCCAAGUUCAUCAUGAAGUAAUAGGCGGCAAUAAUAGUAUCCAAGAGAUUCACCAACUUGGGUCUACGGGUUCAUCAGGAGCAAUAUUUGGUGACCCUCUUUUUUCAUCGUCAAAUCCUUCACCAUCUGAUCAUUUUCAGUUGAAUUGGCCCUUUUUUGGAAAUAAGCUCCUCUCUUCAUGUAAUGGUCAUGAACAGUUAACAAGCAAUGAUUCGCUUCCAUUAAACAACGCUAAGGAAGCUGCAGCAGCAGUUCAACUAGUAACCGUUCCUUCCUUAUAUAGCAACCAACAGCAAUCGCAUCAAACCACUUCAGCAAAUAUGUCAGCCACAGCUUUACUUCAAAAAGCUGCUCAAAUUGGUGCAACUUCAACUGACCCAUCAUUCCUUGGGAGUUUUGGAUUAAAGUACAGUAGUAACAGUACUCAAGUUCAAGAAGGGAACAAGUACUGCGGAUUAAUGUAUGGCUCAAACCCAGUAAGCACGAGUACAAAUCUAGCAAGUGAUGACACAGCAGGGAAUGAUAUUUCCAGCUUAAAUCAUCAGCUGCAAAUGUACCCAACAGCCAAACGCCAAAAGAUACAAAGCGACCAAGAUAGUGCAGGAGGGCAAACAAGAGACUUUCUUGGGGUUGGUGUACAACAAGCCAUAUGCCACCCAUCAACAAUCAAUGGGUGGAUUUGAUUUUGAUAUGAUAUGGGAAUUUCAUUCAUGGGUCGCAUGUUUUCUAUCUGAAUAGAGAUUAAAAUUGGUAAUAAUAAAGUUGGACUUGAGGUGAGAGAGAGGGAGAGAUUUUAGUAUUAGGAAACUUUGCAGGAAGGAAAAGGUGACAUUAUGUGGCAUGAUGUGGGCUAAAAGUUAAGGUUAGAUAACCAUUGAAGAGAUAAAGGAAGAGAUCCAUGCAUAUUCCUGUUGAGCACAGAAAGCUGAUCCCUUUAAAAAUGGUGGCUUUUUCUAUUUUUGAUAAAAGAGGAAGGGAGUAGUGGGGGGCAGAGUAUGAACAACUUUUGAGCUCCAUUAUUGCAUUUGUUUCAUCUCUAUUGUGGUUGUUAUCUUGUCGAACUCGGACUUGAAAGAAAGAAAGAAUAAUAUUAUUCCCAUUUCCCAGUGGCAAAA
RNAcentral lists this unclassified non-coding RNA (1489 nucleotides) under Hevea brasiliensis (rubber tree). The record is from RNAcentral. Lineage: Eukaryota; Viridiplantae; Streptophyta; Magnoliopsida; Malpighiales; Euphorbiaceae.